This 1126-nucleotide long non-coding RNA is filed under the name Anser cygnoides (Swan goose). Its description in RNAcentral is "lncRNA (ENSACDG00005013797.1)". The record is from RNAcentral. Lineage: Eukaryota; Metazoa; Chordata; Aves; Anseriformes; Anatidae.
GACAGGCUGGGCGACAACGGGGAUGGGAAGGAGGUUGGGAGGCAGGGAGUGCGGGGAGGUCGCCCCCCGGAGAUGCAGGUGGGUCCGGGUGAGCCCACGACCCGGGGCUCCCCCCAGGGGAGGCAUCCCCACAGCUCAGCCCCACCAGCACAGCCAGCACCCCGCGGCAUGGCAGGGCAUGGCGGUGCCCCACGGGGGGACAGCGGGGGCUCAGGGGGGACACGCGUGGGUCCUGGGGGGGGAGAAAGAAGGCAGUGGGUGAGGGACGGGGCGCCNNNNNNNNNNNNNNNNNNNNGGGGGGGGGGGGGGGGGGGGGGGGGGGGGGGGGGGGGGGGGGGGGGGGGGGGGGGGGGGGGGGGGGGGGGGGGGGGGGGCGGGGGGGGGACGGGGUGGGUGCGGGGGGGGGGAGAAAGAAGGCAGUGGGUGAGGGACGGGGCGCCACGGAGGGGAGUGCAGAGAGGGGAGGUGGGCGGAGGGGCACGGCUCGGCACGGCUCGGCACGGCUGCGAGGAGCCACGCAGGAGCCAACGGGGCGCAGGUGGGUGCCCCCGGCCAGCUCGGCGCUACCUGCCGGGGCCGGGAAGCCGCUCCUCUCCCCCCCCUUUAUCCCCUCCGCGCCCCCCGCCCCGGCUGGGUGCCAGGGCUGGGGCUGUGCCCUGUUUGUUCGGCGGCUCUUCCGCGCUGCCGAUGUCUUGGGGGGCUGAGGAGGAGAAGGAGGAGAAGGAGGAGGAGGAGGGCGGGGAGGGGGAGGGGACUGGGGCUUGGGAGACGGCGGCUCCUCGGCCUCUCUUAUUGCCGCUGAGUUGCGCUCCUCUUCCUCAGGCUGCGAGCAGGAGCCGCCCGGCCGCUUCCCCCUUCCCCGGCCGGCCGGGACUCCCCGCGGCAGCGCCGCGCCCGCCCGCUCGCUCCCCACCGGGGCAGAGCACUCCCCGGAGCCCGCCCCGAGGUGCCAACAGCAGCCGCCGGGAUUUUUGUCUGUCUUGUUUGUGUGUGUUUUUUUUUUUUUCCUUUUUUUUUUUUUUUUUUUUUUUCCCCUCGCUUUCUUUUGGUUUUGUAGUCUCGCUGGGAAUGGCAGGGGCAGGGGCGCCUGGAGAAGGAACAAGUGGGGGGAAAGGGGGGGGGAGCC